GUACACUCCUGCGGGAGGCAGCAGUGGGGAAUAUUGCACAAUGGGCGGAAGCCUGAUGCAGCAACGCCGCGUGCGGGAUGACGGCCUUCGGGUUGUAAACCGCUUUCGCCUGUGACGAAGCGUGAGUGACGGUAAUGGGUAAAGAAGCACCGGCUAACUACGUGCCAGCAGCCGCGGUGAUACGUAGGGUGCGAGCGUUGUCCGGAUUUAUUGGGCGUAAAGGGCUCGUAGGUGGUUGAUCGCGUCGGAAGUGUAAUCUUGGGGCUUAACCCUGAGCGUGCUUUCGAUACGGGUUGACUUGAGGAAGGUAGGGGAGAAUGGAAUUCCCGGUGGAGCGGUGGAAUGCGCAGAUAUCAGGAGGAACACCAGUGGCGAAGGCGGUUCUCUGGGCCUUUCCUGACGCUGAGGAGCGAAAGCGUGGGGAGCGAACAGGCUUAGAUACCCGAGUAGUCC
This 453-nucleotide ribosomal RNA is filed under the name uncultured organism. RNAcentral describes it as "partial 16S ribosomal RNA". It matches the Rfam family "Bacterial small subunit ribosomal RNA", at positions 331 to 796 of the family's 1533-position model. The record is from RNAcentral.